UACGUAGGGUGCAAGCGUUGUCCGGAAUUAUUGGGCGUAAAGAGCUUGUAGGCGGUUUGUCGCGUCUGCUGUGAAAUUUCGGGGCUCAACCCCGAACUUGCAGUGGGUACGGGCAGACUAGAGUGUGGUAGGGGAGACUGGAAUUCCUGGUGUAGCGGUGAAAUGCGUAGAUAUCUGGAGGAACACCGGUGGCGAAGGCGGCAUCCUGGACCGGUAUUGACACUGAGGCGCGAAAGCCAGGGAGCAAACGGG
RNAcentral lists this ribosomal RNA (252 nucleotides) under uncultured bacterium. Its description in RNAcentral is "partial 16S ribosomal RNA". It matches the Rfam family "Bacterial small subunit ribosomal RNA", at positions 524 to 776 of the family's 1533-position model. The record is from RNAcentral.